RNAcentral lists this transfer RNA (80 nucleotides) under Oryctolagus cuniculus (rabbit). It matches the Rfam family "tRNA". From Rfam's summary of the family: Transfer RNA (tRNA) molecules are approximately 80 nucleotides in length. Their secondary structure includes four short double-helical elements and three loops (D, anti-codon, and T loops). Further hydrogen bonds mediate the characteristic L-shaped molecular structure. tRNAs have two regions of fundamental functional importance: the anti-codon, which is responsible for specific mRNA codon recognition, and the 3' end, to which the tRNAs corresponding amino acid is attached (by aminoacyl-tRNA synthetases). tRNAs cope with the degeneracy of the genetic code in two manners: having more than one tRNA (with a specific anti-codon) for a particular amino acid; and 'wobble' base-pairing, i.e. permitting non-standard base-pairing at the 3rd anti-codon position. Lineage: Eukaryota; Metazoa; Chordata; Mammalia; Lagomorpha; Leporidae. The record is from Rfam by way of RNAcentral.
AGAGCUGUGGCAUAGUGGGUAAAGCCACCAUUUACAGUGGGCAUCCCAUACAGACGUGGGUUCAAAUCCCAGCUGCUCUG